GACGAACGCUGGCGGCGUGCCUAAUACAUGCAAGUCGAACGCACAGUUUAUACCGUAGCUUGCUACACCAUAGACUGUGAGUUGCGAACGGGUGAGUAACGCGUAGGUAACCUGCCUGGUAGCGGGGGAUAACUAUUGGAAACGAUAGCUAAUACCGCAUAAUAUUAAUUAUUGCAUGAUAAUUAAUUGAAAGGUGCAAUUGCACCACUACCAGAUGGACCUGCGUUGUAUUAGCUAGUAGGUGAGGUAACGGCUCACCUAGGCGACGAUACAUAGCCGACCUGAGAGGGUGAUCGGCCACACUGGGACUGAGACACGGCCCAGACUCCUACGGGAGGCAGCAGUAGGGAAUCUUCGGCAAUGGACGAAAGUCUGACCGAGCAACGCCGCGUGAGGGAAGAAGGGUGUCGGAUCGUAAAGCUCUGUUGUAAGAGAAGAACGGGUGUGAGAGUGGAAAGUUCACACUGUGACGGUAGCUGACCAGAAAGGGACGGCUAACUACGUG
This 505-nucleotide ribosomal RNA is filed under the name uncultured bacterium. RNAcentral's name for it is "partial 16S ribosomal RNA". It matches the Rfam family "Bacterial small subunit ribosomal RNA", at positions 28 to 507 of the family's 1533-position model. The record is from RNAcentral.